This 447-nucleotide ribosomal RNA is filed under the name uncultured bacterium. Its description in RNAcentral is "bacterial SSU rRNA". It matches the Rfam family "Bacterial small subunit ribosomal RNA", at positions 355 to 825 of the family's 1533-position model. The record is from RNAcentral.
UGGGGAAUUUUGGGCAAUGGGCGAAAGCCUGACCCAGCAACGCCGCGUGAAGGAUGAAGUAUUUCGGUAUGUAAACUUCGAAAGAAUAGGAAGAAUAAAUGACGGUACUAUUUGUAAGGUCCGGCUAACUACGUGCCAGCAGCCGCGGUAAUACGUAGGGACCAAGCGUUGUUCGGAUUUACUGGGCGUAAAGGGUGCGUAGGCGGUGUGUCAAGUCAGUUGUGAAAUCUCCGAGCUUAACUCGGAACGGUCAACUGAUACUGUCACACUAGAGUACAGAAGGGGCAAUCGGAAUUCUUGGUGUAGCGGUGAAAUGCGUAGAUAUCAAGAGGAACACCUGAGGCGAAGGCGGGUUGCUGGGCUGAUACUGACGCUGAGGCGCGAAAGCUAGGGUAGCAAACGGGAUUAGAUACCCCCGUAGUCCCUGAGCGGGCUGGCAAGGCGCAU